Molecule: non-coding RNA, 901 nt
Organism: Neolamprologus brichardi
Lineage: Eukaryota; Metazoa; Chordata; Actinopteri; Cichliformes; Cichlidae
Source: RefSeq, a predicted model, not a curated record
CAGCAGAGACGUCACAAGAUGUUCAGGCUCUACGUCCUCCUCGCUUCAUCCACGAGGAUGGUGUCAUACGACCAUAUAAGGAGCGGGAAGGCCUCGGCAGUCAGAUGCUUCAGAGGCAAGUGGCGUGCAGUGAAUGGCGUAGAUCUGGCUCAGAGGAUAAGGGGGAUGAGUAAAAACAGCUAGCAGUGACAGAAGUGAAAGCUGUAGAGUUGGUGUUUUGUGUGUAGUCUGUGCUGGAGGGUUGUCCCAAAGUUUGGAGAUCAUGUUUGGUUAGAUUAAAGUGAACCAAAGUAGGGACUUUCACUACUGGUGUCACUGGUUUAGAAGUAUUUUUUUAUAUGUAUUUUGUUGUUAACUGUGUUUUUUUUUUUUCAUCAUCCUUUUUUUGUUUGUUUUGUUUUUUUCCCUGCUCCACAACAACAAACUAAAAAUGAUCUCCAGCCACCAUUUUUCAGCCAAGUCCAACUUAGCUGUAAACCUCGUAUCACAUGACUAUUAACCAUUCAUGAUUAAGGUUGAUGCAUUUGUUUCCUGCUGGAGAAGGUUUGUGUGAAGGUCACACAUGCUGACUCGUAUGAUCUAAUCGGAAAACUAAAGUCUGAAAGUCUGUGCCCUCUUGUCCAAACUAAAACACAGUCCUAACACUUGUAAAGGUCUCUCAAUUAAAUAUCCUGAAAUGUCAUCUGAGAGCUACAUGUUAACAGUGCAAUGUUUAUGCAUUUUUUUAAAAAGCCAUUGUUGUGGACCAGGCUUUAUUUUCUCAUUAGUUUACUUAUUAGUGUUCAUUUUUAAGUCAUCAUAAUCACACUUUUUUCCUUCAUUGUUAUGUUUUUUUUGUCAUUACUUGGAACCUUUCACUGAUAUUUUGUUCUUAAUAAAGUCUUUGCAUUUCAAACUUUCA